This 1372-nucleotide ribosomal RNA is filed under the name uncultured bacterium. Its description in RNAcentral is "bacterial SSU rRNA". It matches the Rfam family "Bacterial small subunit ribosomal RNA", at positions 28 to 1381 of the family's 1533-position model. The record is from RNAcentral.
GAUGAACGCUGGCGGCGUGCCUAAUACAUGCAAGUCGAGCGAACGGACGAGAAGCUUGCUUUUCUGAUGUUAGCGGCGGACGGGUGAGUAACACGUGGAUAACCUACCUAUAAGACUGGGAUAACUUCGGGAAACCGGAGCUAAUACCGGAUAAUAUUUUGAACCGCAUGGUUCAAAAGUGAAAGACGGUCUUGCUGUCACUUAUAGAUGGAUCCGCGCUGCAUUAGCUAGUUGGUAAGGUAACGGCUUACCAAGGCAACGAUGCAUAGCCGACCUGAGAGGGUGAUCGGCCACACUGGAACUGAGACACGGUCCAGACUCCUACGGGAGGCAGCAGUAGGGAAUCUUCCGCAAUGGGCGAAAGCCUGACGGAGCAACGCCGCAUGAGUGAUGAAGGUCUUCGGAUCGUAAAACUCUGUUAUUAGGGAAGAACAUAUGUGUAAGUAACUGUGCACAUCUUGACGGUACCUAAUCAGAAAGCCACGGCUAACUACGUGCCAGCAGCCGCGGUAAUACGUAGGUGGCAAGCGUUAUCCGGAAUUAUUGGGCGUAAAGCGCGCGUAGGCGGUUUUUUAAGUCUGAUGUGAAAGCCCACGGCUCAACCGUGGAGGGUCAUUGGAAACUGGAAAACUUGAGUGCAGAAGAGGAGAGUGGAAUUCCAUGUGUAGCGGUGAAAUGCGCAGAGAUGUGGAGGAACACCAGUGGCGAAGGCGACUUUCUGGUCUGUAACUGACGCUGAUGUGCGAAAGCGUGGGGAUCAAACAGGAUUAGAUACCCUGGUAGUCCACGCCGUAAACGAUGAGUGCUAAGUGUUAGGGGGUUUCCGCCCCUUAGUGCUGCAGCUAACGCAUUAAGCACUCCGCCUGGGGAGUACGACCGCAAGGUUGAAACUCAAAGGAAUUGACGGGGGCCCGCACAAGCGGUAGAGCAUGUGGUUUAAUUCGAAGCAACGCGAAGAACCUUACCAAAUCUUGACAUCCUUUGACAACUCUAGAGAUAGAGCCUUCCCCUUCGGGGGACAAAGUGACAGGUGGUGCAUGGUUGUCGUCAGCUCGUGUCGUGAGAUGUUGGGUUAAGUCCCGCAACGAGCGCAACCCUUAAGCUUAGUUGCCAUCAUUAAGUUGGGCACUCUAAGUUGACUGCCGGUGACAAACCGGAGGAAGGUGGGGAUGACGUCAAAUCAUCAUGCCCCUUAUGAUUUGGGCUACACACGUGCUACAAUGGACAAUACAAAGGGCAGCGAAACCGCGAGGUCAAGCAAAUCCCAUAAAGUUGUUCUCAGUUCGGAUUGUAGUCUGCAACUCGACUACAUGAAGCUGGAAUCGCUAGUAAUCGUAGAUCAGCAUGCUACGGUGAAUACGUUCCCGGGUCU